GGCACUGUGGUUUAGUGGUUUGCACGUUUUGCCUCACACCUCCAGGGUUGGGGGUUCGAAUCCUGCCUCUGCCC
Molecule: non-coding RNA, 74 nt
Organism: Ameiurus melas (black bullhead)
Lineage: Eukaryota; Metazoa; Chordata; Actinopteri; Siluriformes; Ictaluridae
Source: the annotation of a GenBank genome assembly